GGAUUGUGGCUCAGUGGCAGAGUACUUGCCUAGCAUGUGUGAGGCACUGGGUUUGAUUCUCAGCACCA
Molecule: transfer RNA, 68 nt
Filed under: Marmota monax (woodchuck)
Lineage: Eukaryota; Metazoa; Chordata; Mammalia; Rodentia; Sciuridae
Description: tRNA.Ala
Source: RNAcentral